This 168-nucleotide ribosomal RNA is filed under the name Triticum aestivum (bread wheat). RNAcentral's name for it is "partial small subunit ribosomal RNA". Lineage: Eukaryota; Viridiplantae; Streptophyta; Magnoliopsida; Poales; Poaceae. The record is from RNAcentral.
ACUCUCACUCACCUCUGGAACUCUUGGUACCAGUGUUUUUGCAAUCGAAAUAUAAAGUUAAGAUCAAGGUCUUUUAAAAUAGUGUACUCGUCUAUUUCUGUCUGUGGCUUGUCAGUCGUACGUCCAAGGGAUGAGCCUUUCAAAUCAAAUCUCCUAUGAAUAAAGUGA